CUCUAACCCAGGCUGAGAGUAGCUGCUGUUUCUGGGAGGACGAUUCGUGAGGAGGCCCUUGGCGCGGUUUUCCUUUCCUCUCCCUUCUGCGGGCCCUGGCGUACUUCAGCUGUGCCUAGAGCGUGGUGUGUUUUCGUCUACCUGCCCGACUUUCUGCAGAAGGUGCCUUUCGUUGGCCCAAUAGUUCCUUGUCGAAAGUGCCGGCCCCCGUGCCGGCACCGGCCGUAGCCGGGUGGGAAGGCUCAAGAUGGCGUGCCUGUUGGAGACCCCAAUCCGCAUGAGCGUCCUCUCGGAAGUAACAGCUAGCAGUCGCCACUAUGUUGACAGGCUAUUUGACCCUGAUCCCCAGAAAGUUCUACAAGGUGUCAUAGACAUGAAAAAUGCUGUAAUUGGAAACAACAAGCAGAAAGCCAAUCUCAUUGUUUUAGGAGCUGUUCCAAGAUUGUUGUACUUGCUUCAGCAAGAAACCUCAAGUACAGAGCUGAAAACUGAAUGUGCAGUGGUAUUGGGAAGUCUUGCUAUGGGUACUGAAAACAAUGUCAAGUCUCUUUUAGAUUGCCAUAUUAUCCCUGCCUUACUGCAAGGACUACUAUCUCCAGACCUGAAGUUCAUUGAAGCUUGCCUCCGAUGCCUGCGAACCAUCUUCACCAGUCCCGUCACUCCAGAGGAGCUACUAUAUACAGAUGCCACAGUGAUACCACAUCUCAUGGCGCUACUUAGCAGGUCCCGCUACACCCAGGAGUACAUCUGUCAGAUCUUCUCACACUGCUGUAAAGGUCCAGAUCAUCAAACAAUUUUAUUUAACCAUGGUGCAGUUCAGAAUAUUGCUCACCUACUAACCUCAGUAUCUUACAAAGUUCGAAUGCAAGCACUGAAAUGCUUCUCAGUUUUAGCUUUUGAAAACCCCCAGGUAUCGAUGACCCUGGUAAAUGUUUUGGUUGAUGGAGAAUUGUUACCACAAAUUUUUGUGAAGAUGUUACAGAGGGAUAAGCCUAUUGAGAUGCAGCUGACGUCAGCAAAAUGUUUAACUUACAUGUGUAGAGCUGGAGCAAUUCGGACAGAUGACAACUGUAUUGUAUUAAAGACACUGCCUUGUUUGGUUCGAAUGUGCAGUAAGGAGAGAUUACUAGAGGAGAGAGUUGAAGGAGCUGAGACACUCGCCUAUCUGAUUGAACCAGAUGUUGAGCUACAGAGAAUCGCUAGCAUAACUGAUCACCUCAUUGCCAUGCUUGCUGAUUAUUUCAAGUAUCCCAGCUCAGUGAGUGCCAUCACUGAUAUUAAAAGGCUUGAUCAUGACUUAAAACACGCUCAUGAACUCCGCCAGGCUGCAUUCAAGCUCUAUGCCUCUCUAGGAGCAAAUGAUGAAGACAUCCGGAAGAAGAUCAUUGAGACUGAAAAUAUGAUGGACCGAAUUGUGACUGGCUUGUCUGAGUCUAGUGUCAAGGUGCGGUUAGCUGCCGUCAGAUGUUUGCACAGUUUAUCUAGAUCUGUGCAGCAGCUUCGAACCAGUUUCCAGGAUCAUGCUGUGUGGAAACCUUUAAUGAAGGUUUUACAAAAUGCACCAGAUGAAAUCCUAGUAGUAGCAUCUUCCAUGCUAUGUAAUCUUCUUCUUGAAUUUUCUCCAAGCAAAGAGCCAAUUUUAGAAUCUGGAGCUGUAGAACUACUUUGUGGAUUAACGCAAAGUGAAAAUCCCGCUUUGCGAGUGAAUGGAAUUUGGGCUUUAAUGAAUAUGGCAUUUCAGGCUGAACAAAAAAUAAAAGCAGAUAUUUUACGAAGCUUGAGUACUGAACAGCUAUUCCGGUUAUUAUCAGAUUCAGAUUUGAAUGUGCUGAUGAAAACAUUGGGACUUCUUAGAAAUCUCCUCUCUACUCGGCCUCAUAUAGAUAAAAUAAUGAGUACUCAUGGAAAGCAAAUUAUGCAAGCCGUCACCCUUAUUCUGGAAGGGGAGCAUAACAUUGAGGUCAAAGAGCAGACACUGUGCAUCUUAGCCAACAUAGCAGAUGGGACAACAGCAAAAGAACUUAUUAUGACCAAUGAUGACAUCCUGCAGAAAAUCAAGUAUUACAUGGGUCAUUCACAUGUGAAACUGCAGCUGGCCGCUAUGUUUUGUAUAUCAAACCUCAUAUGGAAUGAAGAGGAAGGUUCACAAGAACGCCAGGAUAAGUUACGAGACAUGGGCAUCGUAGAUAUUCUACACAAACUGAGUCAGUCACCAGAUUCAAACCUUUGUGACAAGGCAAAAAUGGCACUGCAGCAGUACCUGGCGUGAUGGGAGCGCCCCGGGCACCUGCAAGCAUCCCCCGUCCUUGUUCAAGGAAGUACAGGAACUAGCCUCAUUUGAUUCCUUCUAUUUGCACAAGUCACCUUGGACUGCAGGGAGCUGUUUUGCAAAAGCAAUUUGAUGAGGGACCUGGGGCCCAGAAAGGUAACUUUCCCAAGGCUAUUCAGCUGACAACUAGCGGAGCCAGGAUUCCAAACCCAGGAUGGUCUUGUCUCCAGUGCCCUUGAGCCCUGACCCUUAGCAGAGACAGUGAUGGGUAAGUUGGAAGCACACUGUGCUCCUGACAACUGAGGAGGACUGACACAUCAAACAAAUGAGCAGCACAUCAGCACCCCGACAAGGCUGCUUCAGAAUCAUGCUCUCAGGAGGCUGGCUAUUUAUCCCUGGGAUGUGUCUGGGCUCAGACCCCUGUGGAACUGUCCGCUUCGCUCAUUAUCACCUGGGGCCCAAACGUCAGGCUCGGGAUCUCCCAACACUCUCCUCAGCAGCUCUGAUGAGUAUUCCCCAGCCGGGCCACUCUCCUCCUUCCCCAGACUGGGCCCUGAGUUAUUCUACUUGUCUCCAAUCGCCCCCCAAAGGAUGAAGACGUGCCAUGACCCUGGACACAUAAGGAAAUGCAUCAGGGGAGCUCUGUGAGGGCAGGUCCCUCAAGGAAAGCAGGCCCCGGUCACCAGAGUGAGAUUUCCUCCCAGCAGGGGAAUGGCUUUGAAGAACCACACACAUCACACACUUGCAUGUGUCAAACUGGGUCUCUUUGAUCCUUAUAAAGCCACACUUCCGUGCUCUCUCUACUCUACACCCCACCGCCGCACCCAGCUUGCCCCUCAGCUGGCAGCAGGCAGCCACAAGGAUUGAAUGAGGGCCGGCUUGGGCCAGCUCCUGUGCCAUCUUCCAUUGCCCUCAGGCCACCUAUUCUUACUCAGCUGGAUUCAGAUCUUGAGGAGACUGUGAACAUAGCAAACAUUUAGGAUACUCACCCCCUGGCCCCUCCCACCUCACCUCAAGCUCAGACCACGGAUACCCAACUCGGCAGCAGGAGCAUCAUAGGCCAGGCCUAGUUCUACUUGUGGAGUGGGUGUCGUGUGACAUUCUCCUGAGAGAGGAUCUUACUAAUGCAAAAUGCAGAAGGUCCAGGCCAACCUCCAUCCUCAUCUUCUGG
Molecule: RNA transcript, 3440 nt
Organism: Callorhinus ursinus (northern fur seal)
Lineage: Eukaryota; Metazoa; Chordata; Mammalia; Carnivora; Otariidae
Gene: ARMC8
Gene name: armadillo repeat containing 8
Source: RefSeq, a predicted model, not a curated record